This 896-nucleotide long non-coding RNA is filed under the name Helianthus annuus (common sunflower). The record is from RNAcentral. Lineage: Eukaryota; Viridiplantae; Streptophyta; Magnoliopsida; Asterales; Asteraceae.
AAAGUAUACAAAUAAGACUAUAUAAAAGUUAUAAUGUUAAUAUUUAUAAGGGCAAAGUGAAUAUGUGGCUGUUUCACGUCUAACCUUACAUGUGAAACCAUCCAAAACUACGUAGUUUUGUUAGAAUUCCUUCCAAACUUCAUCUCGCUCCAUCAGGUCACGUCAAAAUUGGGUUUCUGCUCUCCUUCUCAUGCUCUGCCCAAUCGAUCUUCAUCAGGUAAACCCUAACUCUUAAAGGCACAGAUCUCUCCGCUAUCAUCGUUGAUGCACUUCAGUAUCUCGAUGGAAUCAAACAGGUGUUCAGAGCUGAUAUACAUCCAGGUGCAAGAGGCUAUGAUGAUCUCAACUUCGUGAAUCAGAAGCCAACAAGGAAUCAAUUGGAUAUAGACAAUUGGAGAACCAACUGGAGCAAAAGUCAACAGAACGGACCCAACUAAGGAAAGACACUUGCAGCAACAAGCUGCUGAUUUAUCAUGAUAUUAUCUCGUGCGGUUCACUCAGAGAGAAUUUAAUGUAACAAUUUAGUGACUAUGUAUUCUAUUUGUAAUUGUUACUAGUAAUUAAUGUAAUUAUACAGUUUGUAAGUUCGUUUGACAUGUUUUAUAAUAACUUAAUGAAUUUUGACAUGUUUAAUAUGAGUAUAAUAAUGAUUAUCGCUUGCGUUCCUUUUGUUCCUCUAGCGAUGGCCGACUGUUAUUGAUGUUGAUGUUGUAUUCCAGCCAAUUCUCAGUCUUCUCUUAAUCUUAAUCUGAUGUACUUAUCAUACACCAGUACCCCAACCCAGAAAGAACCACAUGAAAUAUAGCAUAACACAUGAUGAUUCACCCCAACAAAAAGUAUUGACUGAUCAUGAUGAUUCACCCCAACAAAAGGAGCAAAUGGCAUCUUAAAUUUGU